Molecule: ribosomal RNA, 440 nt
Filed under: uncultured bacterium
Lineage: Bacteria
Description: bacterial SSU rRNA
Rfam family: Bacterial small subunit ribosomal RNA
Source: RNAcentral
CCUACGGGUGGCUGCAGUCGAGGAUCUUCGGCAAUGGGCGCAAGCCUGACCGAGCGACGCCGCGUGUGCGACGAAGGCCUUCGGGUUGUAAAGCACUGUCGAGGGGGAGGAAAGCCGCAAGGCCUGACCUAUCCCUGGAGGAAGCACGGGCUAAGUUCGUGCCAGCAGCCGCGGUAAGACGAACCGUGCGAACGUUGUUCGGAAUCACUGGGCUUAAAGGGCGCGUAGGCGGGCGAGCAAGUCCGGGGUGAAAGCCCCCGGCCCAACCGGGGAAGUGCCUUGGAUACUGCUCGCCUUGAGGGAGGUAGGGGCCCGCGGAACUUCCGGUGGAGCGGUGAAAUGCGUUGAUAUCGGAAGGAACGCCGGUGGCGAAAGCGGCGGGCUGGCCCUCUUCUGACGCUGAGGCGCGAAAGCCAGGGGAGCAAACGGGAUUAGAUACC